GACGAACGCUGGCGGCGUGCUUAACACAUGCAAGUCGAGCGGUAAGGCCCUUUCGGGGGUACGACGAGCGGCGAACGGGUGAGUAACACGUGGGUGACCUGCCUUUAGCUCUGGGAUAAGCCUGGGAAACCGGGUCUAAUACCGGAUAUGACUCCGCGGCGCAUGUUGUGGGGUGGAAAGCCUUGUGCGGCUGGAGAUGGGCCCGCGGCCUAUCAGCUUGUUGGUGGGGUGAUGGCCUACCAAGGCGACGACGGGUAGCCGGCCUGAGAGGGCGACCGGCCACACUGGGACUGAGACACGGCCCAGACUCCUACGGGAGGCAGCAGUGGGGAAUCUUGCGCAAUGGGCGAAAGCCUGACGCAGCGACGCCGCGUGAGGGAUGACGGCCUGGUUGUAAG
Molecule: ribosomal RNA, 398 nt
Filed under: uncultured bacterium
Lineage: Bacteria
Description: bacterial SSU rRNA
Rfam family: Bacterial small subunit ribosomal RNA
Source: RNAcentral